Molecule: ribosomal RNA, 513 nt
Filed under: Triticum aestivum (bread wheat)
Lineage: Eukaryota; Viridiplantae; Streptophyta; Magnoliopsida; Poales; Poaceae
Description: partial small subunit ribosomal RNA
Source: RNAcentral
AUGUCUCACGGGUGUGUGGUAUGCAGUCAAGGCAUUGGUUCAUGUGGUUUCCUGCUGCUGGCAUAUGUAGGUUUACCGCUGGAUUCAAGUCUAGAAAUGUUUUAUUUUCUUAAAAUUGAUUUAUCAUAUGCUUUCAUGAUUUCAUCAGGAAAGAGAUGCAGACGAGAGGAAGAGAGCCUCCCCCAAGCUCUGUCUAGGCGAUGCACGGGCGACGGCCACCCUUCCUGUUAUUGCCUCCAUGGCUGGCUGCUCAUCCCCAGGAACCUCCUCCCCUCUCACUUGGAACACAGGUAUCUAGGGCAGGGCGUGGUCACAUUGCAGGCAGCGAGGAGCAGCGCAAAGUUGUCUUGGCUGUGCCCUGCAUCGAGGAGGAACACAGGUAUUUACAAAUCGAGGAGGAAAACAUGUAGUUUUCUGUAUUUUUCUGUUUGUUAUUUUGUAACUUUAUGCUUCACCUGUCCUGAAUUAUACGUAUACUCAUGUUGUCAGAUACAUAGGUAUACAGAUACAUAG